Molecule: ribosomal RNA, 735 nt
Filed under: uncultured bacterium
Lineage: Bacteria
Description: bacterial SSU rRNA
Rfam family: Bacterial small subunit ribosomal RNA
Source: RNAcentral
GUCGAUACGGGCAGACUAGAGUGCUGUAGGGGAGACUGGAAUUCCUGGUGUAGCGGUGAAAUGCGCAGAUAUCAGGAGGAACACCGGUGGCGAAGGCGGGUCUCUGGGCAGUAACUGACGCUGAGGAGCGAAAGCGUGGGGAGCGAACAGGAUUAGAUACCCUGGGUAGUCCACGCCGUAAACGGUGGGUGCUAGGUGUGGGGCUCAUUCCACGAGUUCCGUGCCGCAGCUAACGCAUUAAGCGCCCCGCCUGGGGAGUACGGCCGCAAGGCUAAAACUCAAAGGAAUUGACGGGGGCCCGCACAAGCGGCGGAGCAUGUUGCUUAAUUCGAUGCAACGCGAAGAACCUUACCUAGGCUUGACAUGCGCGGAAAUCCUCCAGAGAUGGUGGGUCCGUAAGGGCCGUGCACAGGUGGUGCAUGGUUGUCGUCAGCUCGUGUCGUGAGAUGUUGGGUUAAGUCCCGCAACGAGCGCAACCCUCGUUCUAUGUUGCCAGCACGUCAUGGUGGGGACUCAUAGGAGACUGCCGGGGUCAACUCGGAGGAAGGUGGGGAUGACGUCAAAUCAUCAUGCCCCUUAUGUCUUGGGCUGCACACAUGCUACAAUGGCCGGUACAAAGGGCUGCUAAACCGCGAGGUGGAGCGAAUCCCAAAAAGCCGGUCUCAGUUCGGAUUGGGGUCUGCAACUCGACCCCAUGAAGUCGGAGUUGCUAGUAAUCGCAGAUCAGCAACGCUG